AUUUUACGAGGUGCUGCAUGGUUGUCGUCAGCUCGUGCCGUGAGGUGUCGGGUUAAGUCCCAUAACGAGCGCAACCCCUACCUUUAGUUGCCAUCAGGUUAAGCUGGGGACUCUAAAGGAACUGCCUACGCAAGUAGUGAGGAAGGCGGGGAUGACGUCAAAUCAGCACGGCCCUUACGUCCAGGGCUACACACGUGCUACAAUGGCCGAUACAGAGGGCAGCUACCUGGUGACAGGAUGCAAAUCUCCAAAGUCGGUCUCAGUUCGGAUCGGAGUCUGCAACCCGACUCCGUGAAGUUGGAUUCGCUAGUAAUCGCGCAUCAGCCAUGGCGCGGUGAAUACGUUCCCGGGCCUU
Molecule: ribosomal RNA, 355 nt
Filed under: uncultured Sphingobacteriales bacterium
Lineage: Bacteria; Pseudomonadati; Bacteroidota; Sphingobacteriia; Sphingobacteriales
Description: bacterial SSU rRNA
Rfam family: Bacterial small subunit ribosomal RNA
Source: RNAcentral